RNAcentral lists this long non-coding RNA (205 nucleotides) under Carica papaya (papaya). RNAcentral's name for it is "long non-coding RNA (CPAP_LNC011681)". The record is from RNAcentral. Lineage: Eukaryota; Viridiplantae; Streptophyta; Magnoliopsida; Brassicales; Caricaceae.
AGGGAAAUGAAGAAAACAAAGAGUGCGAGAAAGAGAGAGGGAGAUAAUUGCGAGAGGCGAGUGAUCGGAGGCGAGUGCGGGAGGCGAUUGAUCAGAAGUUUCUAGAACAGGUGAGGUCGCGGUAGAUUUGGUGAGAGAAAAGAGUAUGAAAGCAAGAGGUAAGAAGAAUUUGGAGUUUCAAAACUGAUUUAUGGCAAGGUAUCUU